Molecule: long non-coding RNA, 542 nt
Organism: Panicum virgatum (switchgrass)
Lineage: Eukaryota; Viridiplantae; Streptophyta; Magnoliopsida; Poales; Poaceae
Exons: 2
Source: RefSeq, a predicted model, not a curated record
GCAACGGCCCAUUUCUGUUAGGCCAGCAGCUCGGGCUUGCGGCUCACAGCAGCUACACGGGACAGCUGGGCUGCCGUUCGGCAGGCAGGCCAAACAAAGGACAGCGGCCUGCAGGCUGCAGCAGCACACGGGCUGGCAUCAAGGGGCGACGCCAGCAGGGAGCUAGCUUGGCCCCACGCGGGGGGAAACUUCGGUCCACAGCAACAAGGCAAAGGGUGAACUCAUCACGUGUUGGCUUGUUUCACCUUGGCGAUUCGAAGAGAGGUGCAUCGGGUUGAAUUCAGGACAUAGACCUUGUUCUCUUGAGGAAUUUUUAAAGGCUCCCAUUCACCCCCCCUCUGGUCGCCUGUUCGGUCCUUCAGUAAAGUAUAAAGUACAAUGUAAGUUGUAUAAUUAACUUGAGUACAUUAAAAUUCGAGCUGCUAACUUCUUCCUAUCUCCCUGCCUUUAUCCUGUUUUGAGCUGAGUUUGAACUUGUUUGUCACACUACCUCUAUCCAUUAUUUAUCUUACUUCUAUUUAUGCAAUUGAAUAUUCCAUCGA